CAGAAUUGAUUUCCUUUGGGCUCCCAAUGUCACAGGGAGCUGUACUAUUACCCUGGUGAAUACCUACAGACAUCCAGUUUCCUUCAAAAGAGCUAACCUCUUUGAAGCCUACAAGACUAAGGGCAGACUUUUUGCAAAUCUCAGGUAUCCUACUAAGGUGAUCCAGCUGGUGGUCAGGUUUUUGAGACCUCAUACUGAUCACCCAUGGGACACCCUUUCUGAUGAGAAUUAGAGGACUGGACUUGGGCUCCCUUGUUGUUUUGCCACUGUUGGACACGUGUGCUACCCAAGGUAAAACAAGAGACUAUUCCCAUGACUAUGGGUAAGCAUUUAGUUUCAUAUAGGAUGGCUGGCACAUAGUAUGGCUUUCAGGCUUGCUGUGAUUGUUGAGAGGCAUGGAUCCUUGUUAGUAUUUAUGUAUCCACCACCACAGAUAUCAGGCCUUGGAAAGUCUUUGGGAUUUUCUUUUCAAGGAAGAAAGAUUUCUUUUACAAGACACUGCAAGGACCCUGGUCACAAACCAAG
This 525-nucleotide long non-coding RNA is filed under the name Heterocephalus glaber (naked mole-rat). Its description in RNAcentral is "lncRNA (ENSHGLG00100046581.1)". The record is from RNAcentral. Lineage: Eukaryota; Metazoa; Chordata; Mammalia; Rodentia; Bathyergidae.